UUCUAUGGCCAGGCCACUCUGAACACUCCUAAUCUUGUCUGAUCUUGGAAGCUAAGUAGGGUUGGGCCUGGUCAGUACUUGGAUGGAAGAUGAUUUAAAGAAUGAAGGAGUAUUGCAU
This is a ribosomal RNA of Erinaceus europaeus (western European hedgehog), 118 nucleotides long. The record is from Ensembl. NCBI's taxonomy places the organism in Eukaryota, Metazoa, Chordata, Mammalia, Eulipotyphla, Erinaceidae.